GUUUUUAUAGUUUAUAAAAACAUUGGUUUUGUAUACCAAAAAUAAGAUUUAUCUUUAAAAACU
Molecule: transfer RNA, 63 nt
Filed under: Pennisetia hylaeiformis (raspberry clearwing)
Lineage: Eukaryota; Metazoa; Arthropoda; Insecta; Lepidoptera; Sesiidae
Description: tRNA-Thr
Rfam family: tRNA
About the family: Transfer RNA (tRNA) molecules are approximately 80 nucleotides in length. Their secondary structure includes four short double-helical elements and three loops (D, anti-codon, and T loops).
Source: RNAcentral